Molecule: ribosomal RNA, 252 nt
Filed under: uncultured bacterium
Lineage: Bacteria
Description: partial 16S ribosomal RNA
Rfam family: Bacterial small subunit ribosomal RNA
Source: RNAcentral
UACGUAGGGUGCAAGCGUUAAUCGGAAUUACUGGGCGUAAAGCGUGCGUAGCGGUGCCAUAAGUCUGUUGUGAAAUCUCCCGGCUUAACUGGGAGGGUGCGGUGGAAACUGUGGUGCUGGAGUGUGGGAGAGGUAGGCGGAAUUCCUGGUGUAGCGGUGAAAUGCGUAGAUAUCAGGAGGAACACCUGUGGUGUAGACGGCUUACUGGACCAUGACUGACGCUGAGGCACGAAAGCGUGGGGAGCAAACAGG